AGAGUUUGAUCCUGGCUCAGGAUGAACGCUAGCGGCAGGCCUAACACAUGCAAGUCGAACGGCAGCACGAAUAAGCUUGCUUAUUUGGUGGCGAGUGGCGCACGGGUGCGUAACGCGUAUGCAAUCUACCCCUAACAAGAGGAUACCCCGGAGAAAUUCGGAAUAAUAUUCUAUAAUACAUUUGAUUCGCAUGUUUUGAAUGUUAAAGCCACGGCGGUUAGGGAUGAGCAUGCGUGACAUUAGCUAGUUGGUGAGGUAACGGCUCACCAAGGCAACGAUGUCUAGGGGUUCUGAGAGGAUGAUCCCCCACACUGGUACUGAGACACGGACCAGACUCCUACGGGAGGCAGCAGUGAGGAAUAUUGGUCAAUGGACGCAAGUCUGAACCAGCCAUGUCGCGUGAAGGAAGAAGGCCCUAUGGGUUGUAAACUUCUUUUAUAAGGGAAGAAACCCCCUCUCGUGAGAGGGGCUGACGGUACCUUACGAAUAAGCACCGGCUAACUCCGUGCCAGCAGCCGCGGUAAUACGGAGGGUGCAAGCGUUAU
Molecule: ribosomal RNA, 545 nt
Filed under: uncultured freshwater bacterium
Lineage: Bacteria
Description: bacterial SSU rRNA
Rfam family: Bacterial small subunit ribosomal RNA
Source: RNAcentral